Paramuricea clavata is the source of this 607-nucleotide non-coding RNA. The record is from the annotation of a GenBank genome assembly. Lineage: Eukaryota; Metazoa; Cnidaria; Anthozoa; Malacalcyonacea; Plexauridae.
UAGGCCGUGGGCUGUUGUGCAAAAAAGUGCCUAGAAAAGCAAUUUCGUGGCACCCAUCUGGGAAAUAGAUUUUCUGUGGUUCAAUUCAUAGAACAAUAGAUGCUUAAUUACCACAAAAAGUUCCCAAGCAAAAAACCUGCCCAACACCGAGAAAAUGGGUGAUCAGUGAUUAUCCUCUAUUAAAUUGUAUUACAGCAAGAAAAUGUAAAAUUUUGUAUUCAAUUACAACAAAAAUGACUUGCAUUAUCAGAAAGCUUACAAAAACCUACAUAUAAGACAUUUAAACAGUUUUUUUAUAUCUAUAAUUGUUUUCGAGUUAUACGCUGUCAAAACGCGUUUUUGACCUAGUACCCAGUCCUUAUUGCGACAUUUUGGUCCAAUUUUCACAUUUAAAACAGCAAUAACUCAAAGACUAUUCGAAAAAUCAAAAAACUGUUUAAAAGUCUUGUAUGCGGUUUUUUGUACGUUUUCCGAUGAUGCAAGUCAUUUUUAUUGUAAUUGAAUACAGAAUUUCUCAUAUUUUUGCUGUAAUACAAUUUAAUAGAGGAUAAUCAUUGAUCACCCAUUUUCUCGGGAUUGGGCAACUUUUUUGCUUGGGAACUUUUUU